GAUGAACGCUGGCGGCGUGCCUAAUACAUGCAAGUCGAGCGAAAGGACGAGAAGCUUGCUUUUUGGAUGUUAGCGGCGGACGGGUGAGUAACACGUGGAUAACAUACCUAAAGGACUGGGAUAACAUCGGGAAACCGGAGCUAAUAACGGAUAAUAUUUUGAACCGCAGGGUGCAAAAGAAAAAGACGGUCUUGCGGACACUAAUAGAGGGAUCCGCGCUUCAUUAGCUAGUUGGUAAGGUAACGGCUUACGAAGGAAACGAUGGAGAGACGACCUGAGAGGGUGGUCGCCGACGCUGGAACUGAGACACGUUCCUGGCGACUCCGGUACGCAGCAGUAGGGAUUCUGACGCAGUGGUGGAAAGCCUGACGCAACAGCGGGGCGCUGGUGAUGACGACCUUGUGAUCCUAAAACCCUGUUACUAGGGAAGAACAUAUGUGUAAGUACAUGAGCCCAUCUUGACGGUACCUAAUCAGAAAGCCACGGCUAACUACGUG
This 497-nucleotide ribosomal RNA is filed under the name uncultured bacterium. Its description in RNAcentral is "partial 16S ribosomal RNA". It matches the Rfam family "Bacterial small subunit ribosomal RNA", at positions 28 to 507 of the family's 1533-position model. The record is from RNAcentral.